GAUUAACGCUGGCGGCGUGCAUAACACAUGCAAGUCGAACGAUGAAACUUAAUUGAUCUCUUCGGAGUGAAAUUAAGUGGACUAGUGGCGGACGGGUGAGUAACGCGUGAGUAACCUGCCUUAGAGAUGGGGAUAGCCUCUGGAAACGGAGAAUAAUACCCAAUGAUACCAAGCUAUCGCAUGGUAGCCUGGUCAAAGAUUUAUCGCUCUAAGAUGGACUUGCGUCUGAUUAGCUAGUUGGUGAGAUAAUGGCUCACCAAGGCAACGAUCAGUAGCCGGCUUGAGAGAGUGUACGGCCACAUUGGGACUGAGACACGGCCCAGACUCCUACGGGAGGCAGCAGUGGGGAAUUUUGCACAAUGGGGGAAACCCUGAUGCAGCGACGCCGCGUGAUUUAGAAGGCCUUCGGGUUGUAAAAAUCUUUUGUAUAGGAAGAAAAUGACAGUACUAUACGAAUAAGGACCGGCUAAUUACGUGCCAGCAGCCGCGGUAA
Molecule: ribosomal RNA, 493 nt
Filed under: uncultured Eubacteriales bacterium
Lineage: Bacteria; Bacillati; Bacillota; Clostridia; Eubacteriales
Description: bacterial SSU rRNA
Rfam family: Bacterial small subunit ribosomal RNA
Source: RNAcentral